Piliocolobus tephrosceles (Ugandan red Colobus) is the source of this 498-nucleotide long non-coding RNA. RefSeq lists it as uncharacterized. Lineage: Eukaryota; Metazoa; Chordata; Mammalia; Primates; Cercopithecidae. The transcript has 4 exons. The record is from RefSeq and is a predicted model, not a curated record.
GGAACGGGGGAGAAGAAGGGCACCGCGGCGGGAGGGAAGAAACAGAGCGAGCUACUCUGCGGGAGCGCAGUUAGCAGCCAGCUGCGGUCACGUGCCUGGGAGGAGGAGCUGAGACCUCAGGGGAGGGGCGCGCGGUAGCGCCCCGGGUACCCUAGCAGGGCUCUGGAGACCACGUGAAGUCUCCUCGGAGCUGGUGUAGUGAAGGAUGAAGAGAAGGCAAUGCAUUGGUUUAGAUAAGCCUCCCAGCAGGACCAUCCUGGUGCUGCCUUUAACCUUGCAGUAGGAACACUAAAAAACAUGACUGACUCCAUGAAAGCAGGGGAUGUAGAAAUACUCCUUAAUGUUGCUGCAAAACGGGGGAUCCAAGAAGCCGAAGAACUUCUGGAGAAUGUUAUUUGAACUAAAAGCAAGCUCUUGCCAACUGCAAGAACUGGGAGUUUUUAUAAACCAUAAUGUGUGUCCUGCAUGCUCUUCCUGGAGCAUAGGAUGUUCUGCUCU